This 1049-nucleotide small RNA is filed under the name Pongo abelii (Sumatran orangutan). Its description in RNAcentral is "processed transcript". Lineage: Eukaryota; Metazoa; Chordata; Mammalia; Primates; Hominidae. The record is from RNAcentral.
CGCUGACACUGCGUCCGGGGUCAGACGACGAUAUCAGCGCGGGGUCCCCACAACGCCAUGGGGCAGAGCCAACUCUCGAGCGCGUGACCGAAGCCUGCAGUUUAUCGCCUCCGUCACUUCCGGGUGCGACAAUCUCUUCUGUCCGGCCAGCCACUGGAGUCGUUAGGUGCCUCUUGCUUCUGACGAGCCACACGUUUGCUCCUUCCCUCUGUUCCCAGCUGGAGGGACAUGAGUGUCCCUGGGCCGUCGUCUCCGGACGGGGCCCUGACACGGCCACCCUACUGCCUGGAGGCUGGGGAGCCGACGCCUGUUUGCUGAGGCUAAACACUAUCAUGCCAAGUUGGUGAAUAUAAGAAAAGAGAUGCUGAUGCUUCAUGAAAAAACAUCAAAGUUAAAAAAAAGAGCACUUAAACUGCAGCAGAAGAGGCAAAAAGAAGAGUUGGAAAGGGAGCAGCAACGAGAGAAGGAGUUUGAAAGAGAAAAGCAGUUAACUGCCAGACCAGCCAAAAGGACGUGAAAAGCUGUGUUUGUGUGUUUUCUUCUCCUGUCCCAUAUUUGGGUUAUGAUGACUCAAGUGUAGACUGAAGUUGAGGUAGUGCCUUACGCCAUUAUGUCAUAUGUUGAAAUCCUUAUUCCGGUAUUACUUUGUCUCCAUGCCUUUUUUCCAAGUAGCAGACGUCAUGUUGCUUGGUUUUUGAUAUUUAUAUGUAAGUUUUUCAAAUUUUGUUUAAUUUUAAAAUUUAUUAUUUUGAUCUUGAAUUAUUUAUAAACUGGAAAGUGGUUUGAUUAUUGUGAGUCAAAACUCUAAGUGGUUAAAAAUUAGUAUGAAUUUUUUAGCUUCUUAAUGAAUACAGAUUUAAAACUCUCCAGUUCUUAUUUUAUGAAAUGACUUGCCUUUCUGGUAAUACAAUGCUGACUUUUUAGUAAUUGCCUUUUCAUUACUUUGUUAAGAAGAAAUGCCAGCUGUUUAAUCACACCUACCCCUGGAAAAGAGGUAAGCCUUUUGAACAGUUGAGUUUCAUCAGAAGCUCUAUAGCUUUUUGGUGAGA